GAUGAACGCUGGCGGCGUGCUUAACACAUGCAAGUCGAACGGAAAGGCCCAAGCUUGCUUGGGUACUCGAGUGGCGAACGGGUGAGUAACACGUGGGUGAUCUGCCCUGCACUUCGGGAUAAGCCUGGGAAACUGGGUCUAAUACCGGAUAGGACCACAUUUUGGAUGGUGUGGUGGAAAGUUUUUCGGUGUGGGAUGAGCUCGCGGCCUAUCAGCUUGUUGGUGGGGUAAUGGCCUACCAAGGCGUAGACGGGUAGCCGGCCUGAGAGGGUGGACGGCCACAUUGGGACUGAGAUACGGCCCAGACUCCUACGGGAGGCAGCGGUGGGGAAUAUUGCACAAUGGGCGCAAGCCUGAUGCAGCGACGCCGCGUGGGGGAUGACGGCCUUCGGGUUGUAAACUCCUUUCGCUAGGGACGAAGCGCAAGUGACGGUACCUGGAGAAGAAGCACCGGCUAACUACGUG
Molecule: ribosomal RNA, 465 nt
Filed under: uncultured bacterium
Lineage: Bacteria
Description: partial 16S ribosomal RNA
Rfam family: Bacterial small subunit ribosomal RNA
Source: RNAcentral